RNAcentral lists this long non-coding RNA (7412 nucleotides) under Coffea arabica (coffee). RNAcentral describes it as "long non-coding RNA (CARA_LNC001493)". The record is from RNAcentral. Lineage: Eukaryota; Viridiplantae; Streptophyta; Magnoliopsida; Gentianales; Rubiaceae.
AUGUCCACUGAGUUUGGCUCAGUGGUUGAAUGAACAAGUUACUUAGUUCUCCUGAAAUAUGAUUAAAACUGUUUUGUGUCAAAAUUACAACGCCUCUAACUUUAUAGUUUUCGUAAGCAUUUCUAAAUGUAAAAAUUAUGGUGCACUCCAAAUAUUUAUUUCGGGGAUACGAAUGAACAAGUUACAUGAAGAAAAUGGCAAAAAGAAUAAGCCAUUUGUUUUCCAGAGCUAAGAAGCCUUAAGCUGGAACUUGGGUGGGAGGAAGCAGCCACUUAGAAGCCUCGAUGAAUCCAAGAGUCAGAAAGGGUUUAACUUCUGCUUCAGUAAGCUUCUUGGUGAAUGCAGCCCGGCUAUUGUUUGUGUCUGAACCUGGUCCGGUGGAACUGAAUUCUCCGAACAAUACCGUCCUGCAAUACACCAUUGCCACCAUUAGACAAAUAUCCAAGAAAACAAAAACAAGAAAAGGAAUAACUAAUCAGUAACUCUCAGCCAACAAUAUAUAUAUACACACACACACACGCACAAGAGCUGUCUUGAUAAAUCUUGAAAAUCGAGUUCGCUGGCGUAUACAUUAAAUAUGAAUAAAACUUACUUCUCAGUCUCCGGAUGGAAGUUAUUAGACCAGCCUGCUGGGAUUACCGCGUCGCUCAUAUCCGUGUAGGCAAACACGACCUUGCCAUAAGGCAUCCAAGUUCUGCCCAAGUAAGCAGUGCGACCUGUGCCAGUGACUUUGCAGUGGACAAAUGAGUAUCCUGUAUCUUCAGCAUCGGUGUGCCUCGCCUGUGCGGUGAUCCAUGCCUGUUGGUCGCCUGGGAUAACAUGCAUCUCAACAUUCUGCAAUAUGAAUCACAUUCAAGAUUUCAUCCACAGCUUGUUCGCAUUCUUCAUGAAAAUGAUCAGAAAAGAAGUAAAAGAUGAUGAAUUGAUCUUCUAUUGUUACUAAUAUUUUACCAAGUAGAUGGAUUUUCCGUUGCCAAAAAUGAAAUCUACGGUGCCUUCGAUGUAGCAAUCCUUGAACAAGUGCUUUCCUUUGUCGUCGCAAAGGGUGUCUUGAAAACCAAGGAAUUUGCAGUUGUAAAAGGAAGCCUUAUCCCCUCCAAUUCUCACAGCCAAUGCCUGGGCACCCUUCACGUCGCCGUUUGGCCUUGGUGCUAAGUUCUUGAGCAAUUCGAAGCAACCCAAGAUGUGAUCGAUCAGAAACAAGACCUUCAAGGAAAAAGAAACAAGAACAAUGCGUGCUGGCUAUAUAUAUAGUUCGCUUACCGCAAGAAUGAGGUUAGCGGCGUUGAAGUAAUCAGAUUCAACAAUCAAGGUGGCACUUUCCACGGUUCCAUACUUGGCCGCUGUACCAUCAAACACUAGAGUAGGCAAAUUGUUUGGAUCUCCAAUUAUUGAGAUGAAUGGCUUGUUACGUUCAAUCUUGAUUUUCUCUGUAUAGUUUCCGGGGCCAAGUGAAAUGAUGAUGCGGUUGGUAUUGUCAUUUGGGAUGCUAUUGAUGGCAUCGGCUAUAGUCUUGAACUCACCGCUUCCGUCGCUCUUGAGCUUGAUGAUUCUGGGAUUGGCUUCUGCAGUGACUAGUGCCGGGUCCAAAGUGUCUUUCCGGGAUGCCAAAGGCUGCACAUUUUGCUCAAACCAGCUAUUCAAUUGAGCCUUAUCACCGGGGGCAGGUACAGUAUCAUCUGAAAGAACAACAGGAAUGAAGAGAAGGGUUGAAAAAAGGAUUGCUUUGUUCAGGGCCAUGUUACCCAUGUCGGUUUGUUUUUUACUUGCUAAUUAUGCUUUCUUGGAAGCCAGCAAUUGGCGAAGGUAAAUGGAGGAAACCAGGUUGUUCUUAUAGACUGCGACGUGAAACCAGAGACACAGAUGAACAUGCGCCAGAGAGAAGUCAUCGGGAAAGAUUGUGGUUGUGUUUUUUGUGGCUUAGAAUCAGUUUUUGUAAUGGCAAGAUGGCGCUUUUUAUGAAUUUGGAAAAAUGCCAACUGUAUUUUUUUUAGAAAAAAAUUAAUUUAGUUUCCCUUAUUUUUCCACGUAUACUAAUUCUUGCGGUGAGGGGUCAUCCAGCUGCUUUUCGCAGUGCUUUAGGUAGUUUGCCAGUAACAGUAUCUUUCUCAUUAUCCGAGAAAGUCUUAAUGCUAUGUGUUUGCAUUACAUAUCCUCAGCCCUUCUUUAGCAAUGCUCUAGAAUGAUUUAUACACAGAAAUCUAUUUCCUGCCUGGCCAGAUCAAAUGUCAGGAAAUUAGCCAUCUUCAAAUUUUUAACACUUAUCUCAACCUAGUUAAAAGUUGAUGACUAAUUAGUUGAUCAAUAUUGUGAAAAUCAAAUGUCUCUUGGUGACAGUGUUGACAUUAUUUAAUAUCUUAGAUAUUUCUUUAGUCUACUACAACUCUGGCGGGUAUAAAAAGCAAAUAAAUAUUAAGGUAUCAAACUGGAAAUUACUAAGUUUGGGCAAAUAUCUGACACUCUGCAAGCUAUGUCUGCCUUGAGAGUCUUUUCCGCUUCCAUUUCUGUUGGUCCUAACCUAUGUUGUUUUCCUUUUACCUUUGGUGUGAGCUUGUUUGUAAAUGGUAGUUGACAAGUAUCUUUAGAUUUUUGGAUUGUCUAUUUUCCUACUGUUUAUGGAAAGACAGUAGUGUUUCUUCAAACUAUUUGAAUAUUUAUUGACUUGUUUCUGAUUAGUUGGGAGGCUUUCUUCUUGUAUCUUUCAACGACUAAUCUAGGUCUCCAAUUGUUUUCGUUUGAGUGUCUAUGAGAUUAUUUCAAGAGAACUUAAUACUGCAUUAUCUUAGGUAGGUUACAAGUUCACUACCAAUAUAGAAAAUAACUUCGUUUUUAUGACCAUCAGUUGCUUGUAUCCGUCAAGAGGUUAAUAGUCGAGCUUGUGCUGCAUUUCUUUUUGGACCUUCAGCUGGUAUGGUAAACUUCGCUGCAUGUCUAAUGCAGUCUUAUGCAUAUUCACUAAUAAAGUUGUGCUACAUGUAGAUGGAUUGCACAUUAUGAUGAACAUGAAACUCUUGCAAGAGAAUGAAGAGGAAAAGCUGUCAAAAGAGGAACAAGAGACGACUUGGGAAGUAUUCAGGAGAACUUUUUUAUUGGAGAAAGUGCAACCAGUUUGACCUGAUGCAUCUACAAUUGAUCAGCAAGAGAAAGAAGAAUGAAUUACAAAUUUGCACAUGAGCAGCAGACAGUACCUCUUGAGGAAACUGCAUUUGAUGAAAAACCAGCACGCAGAAACACAGUUCCCUCUGCUCCUGAAAUCAAUCUUGAAGCCACACCUUCAUGCGCAAGAAACCGGAUGAUUACGAGAAAAUGUACUCCCAUCUGCUGACACUUCGAAGUCAGGGCACAAAAAUGGGUUGCAGCACCGCCUGUGGAGAAUGUGCACGGGAAAAUAGUUGGGAGGAGCGCAACAAGACAUCAGAAAAGUGAUGCCGAACACCACAUUUUUCUUAAUAUUAUAUGGCAUUUACUUAUUUCAGAUUUUCUGUGAAGGCCUAGGUGUACUGGAAUUUAUAGCGUAUGUCUGUCUCUGAAGGUAGUGGUUGUAAAUCAAUUCUUCUAGGUUUUGGCCCACAUGAAAUUGAAAAUAAUUAAAAAAUUUUAAUACAACAAAAUUUUAUUAUUUUAUAAGGUUAUGUGAAAGGUCAAAAUAUUUUUCAUAGUAUUUUAAAGUAUAUAAAUAAAAAAAAUUAAAUUAUACAUAUAAUAAUGUAUUAUGCAAGUAUAUUAUGAGUACUUAUUAACUAAAGUUCUAAGUUUUAAUCAUUAAUAAAAUACUUUAUUGUUAUUUCAAAUAAAUUUCCUAGUAUUGGUUUGAUAAAAGUUUUUUAAGCAAAAUAGUACAUUGGUGCCAUAAAUUAGUAAGUUUUGGUCAUUAAUCAAAUUUACUAUGUUAUAAGUAAAAAUUAUUAUUUAUGUAUAAAAACUUACUAUUACUUGAACUAAACUUAUUCUCUCAAAAGUAUGUUUGGGAUAUUAAAUAAUAAUUUAUCUCUUUAAAAAGUAAGUUUAAUAUUUAUUCCAAUUUACCUUUUGAGACACAAAAAUUACUAAUUAUUAUAGUUAACUUACUAUUUUAAAUGAGAAACUUACUUCCUUACUUUUAAGCAUUAUCCUCUUUAGGUAGAUAGGUCCAACGGGUAAUCGAAUGGUACCUAAAAAUAUAAUAAUCUGUUAUAUCAGAUAAAAACUGUUUAGUUACCCUAACGAUAGUUACUACAGUAUUUUCCUAUACUCACACCAAAUGGCAAAUUUAGUCCGAGAAAAUCAGCAAAUUUGACCUAUACUCGCACCAAAUGGCUGUUCAAAAGCAGAUAGCCGUGACACAUUCACACAGGCGCAAGGUAAUGUAGUCAUGGAAUCGUAAAUGCAUCAACAUUUUAUUUGUCACCUUUUAGUAGUAAGGGGGAAAUUCAACGAAUCUAUUAAAAAAAAAACAUAGAAUACAAAUCAACUUGGUAUACGCUUCAAAAAAAUUUUCAAUUUUGACAAAAGCAAGACACCUUCACACAAUGCACCUUCAUGUGCUUCACCAUGCAAGGUAGCACGUGUCACAACUGUCUGAUUAAUAUAUUAGCACGUGUCACCUUCAUGUGCUUCACCCUGCAAAUCACUUGCUUAAAUAUGCAGAUACCUCAACUCAUGAGUAUGCUUCGAUUAUCCCUGAUUGCAGGUUCUGGGGUCUGUUCUGCCGGAAGUCAUACUUAGACAUGUUUACUAAGAAAUAAAUCAGUGUGCUGAUAGAUUGACGAAAUUGGGUGCUCAACAAGAUAUGAAUUUUGUGUGUUAUGACAGUGUCCCUCAUGCUUUGAAAAAUCUAGUAGAUGCAGAUAUUAAGGGAAUUUGCUUCUCUCGUUGUGUACCUAUAAUUUAAGUUUUUUCAAUAUAUAAUACCUUUUAUUACCAAAAAAAAAUUUAUGCAAAAAAGUUAACUAAUGUUGGCAUAAAAUUACACGAGGCACACAUUUUCAAAUCUCCUGGGCUCUGUUUGGAUUAGCUAUUUUUGGAUGUGUUUUUUAAAAACUUUACUGUAACUGUGUAUACGAAAAACUUUUACUGUAAAUAUUUUUUGGAUUGUUUUUAGAGAUAUUUUUAAAAUAUAUUUUUGAGUAUUUUUAUAAUUUACAAUUUUUUUGGGAUUUUUUUAAAUAUAAACUGGCUCUGUUUCUAUAUAUUAAUAUUUAUUUAUCUAUAUAUAUAAUAUUUUUUAUUCAAUUUUGUUUUGUAAUAUGUAUAUUAAUAAAUAUUAAUAUGUAUCUUUCAAUUUGUAUAAUUGUAUAUAAAUAAAUAUAUUUAUAUAAAUAUAAAUAUAUUUUAAACAGAAUAUUAAUAGUUAUAUAUAAAUAUAUAAUAUUUAUUUCAAUUGAUAUAAUAUAUAUAAUAUACAUAUUAAUAUUACUAUAAUUUAUAUAUAAUAUAAUAUACAUAAUUGAAAUAUACAUAUUAAUAUAUAUUAAUGUACAUAUUAUAAAACAAAAUUGAAAUAAAUAUAUUUAUAACUUUAUAUAAAUAAAUAUAAAUGUAUAUAUAAAUAUAUUUAUUUAUUUCAAUUGAUAUAAUAUAUAUAAUAUACAUAUUAAUAUUACUAUAAUUUAAAUAUAUAAUAUAAUAUACAUAAUUGAAAUAUACAAAUUGAAAGAUACAUAUUAAUAUACAUAUUAUAAAAAAAAAUUGAAAUAAAAAAUAUUAUAUAUAUGAAUAAAUAAAUAUUAAUAUAUAUAAUAUAAAACAAAAUUGAAAUCGAAAAAUCUGAUUUCUAUUUCCGAUUUCAAAAACUCCAUUACCGAAUUCGAACCAAAUUCGCAUAAUUUGAAAUCGAAAAUUCCGAAUUUUUUUGUAUAUUUGGAAUUGUUUUUGAUAUAUUGUUUGGAUAUGGUGUUUUUGAAAUUGUUUUUGUUUGUAUAUUACUGUAGUAUUGUAGAUGAAAAAAUUAUUUUUCAAAAAAUGCUGAAUCCAAACGGAGCCCUGUAAAUUCCAAGGAGAAGAAAAAACUGAGCUUACCGUCAGAAAAGGAAAAGCACGGCCUUUCAUUCUCUGUUUUUCAUUUUCUACCUAAUUGGAGGAAAGCGGAGGGACUAGAAAAGAGUAAAUACAGGCCUGCCAUAUGUAUUUAAAAAUUCAACCGGCACAACAAAAGCAAAUAACAAAGCAAGUACUAAUUUGUUGUACCACACUUUCUAAUUGAUGGAAGUAUUAUAAGUAAUUGUUUGUGAAGCUGUUAAGUGUUAACUAUUACAAGUUACUGUUUGUUAAAACUGUGGUGUGUUUGGUUGAUGCAAGGGACUACAGCAUUGACCUUGUAUACAUUUUACUGAGCAAACCAACAUUUGUUACAACAAUUUGCACUAGAAGUAUCACUCCCAGUAAAAACUCCAAAUUGGACAUUCUCUCUCUUAUUUUUUUGUGUUUCCUUGUUUGUGUUUGUGUUUUCUGUUUCAGACUUUCAGUGAUAAGUUGCUUAUUGAUGUACACUAAUCCUAUGACAGUGCAGAUUAAUUUUCAAUAACGUCUUCUUUUUUUUUUAUAACAAAAGAACCCAUAACCGUUAUCCGAGAAUAUAAACCCCUUUAAAAACGUCUUUACCUAGUGAUUGUGAGAGUAACACGAAAAAGAUUUUCCUUCCAUCACCAAAAAGAAAAGAAAAAAAAAGAAAAGAGUAAUAGUAGGAUCACACACACGUUAAAAGCUACAUACACAUAUAAAAAUUCAUAGUGUACUUCAUAUUGAGUAUUUAUAAGACAGGGAUUACAUUCCUCUGCAUUACCUCUUCCCUCCAAUUUCUCCGAGGGAGGGAUGAGUAUAUCUAAAAUUCAAGAAUAAAGAAAGAGAAUUAAGUUAAAUUUUUUUUUUUAAAGACGGCAACUAUUGUAUAACCUAUCUAUUCUAAACUACAGGGAGGGAGAGCCUAAAGAGGCUGUGUUUGAGACUAACAACAUACAGACAUUACUAGACCAAGAGAGUGUUUUGGCAUAACCCUCGGGGAACUGAACCUCCACCUACAAUCCAAGAAAGGACUUAAGACCCUCUUUGAUGUCCACUGAGCUUGACUCAGUGGUUGAAUGAACAAAUUACUUAGUUCUCCUGAAAUAUGAUUAAAACUGGUUUGUGUCAAGCUCAGUGGUUGAAUGAACAAGUUAUUUAGUUCUCCUGAAAUAUGAUUAAAACUGGUUUGUGUCAAAAUUACAACGCCUCUAACUUUAUAGUUUUCGUAAGCAUUUCUAAAUGUAAAAAUUAUGGUGCGCUCCAAAUAUUUAUUUCGGGAAUACGGAUGAACAGGUUACAUGAAGAAAAUGGCAAAAAGAAUAAGCCAUUUGUUUUCCAGAGCUAAGAAGCCUUAAGCUGGAACUUGGGUGGGAGGAAGCAGCCACUUAGAAGCCUCGAUGAAUCCAAGAGUCAGAAAGGGUUUAACUUCUGCU